GAAUUCAUUGAAGAGUUGCUGUCUCCCCCUUUUGGGGGUUUAGUGGCAUUUGUGAAGGAGGCUGAGGCUUUGAUUGAGCGUGGACAGGCUGAGCGACUUCGAGGGGAAGAAGCCCGGGUAACUCAGCUGAUCCGUGGCUUUGGUAGUUCCUGGAAAUCAUCAGUGGAAUCUCUGAGUCAGGAUGUAAUGCGGAGUUUCACCAACUUCAGAAAUGGCACCAGUAUCAUUCAGGGAGCGCUGACCCAGCUGAUCCAGCUCUAUCAUCGCUUCCACCGGGUGCUGUCCCAGCCGCAGCUCCGAGCCCUCCCUGCCCGGGCUGAGCUCAUCAACAUUCACCACCUUAUGGUGGAGCUCAAGAAGCAUAAGCCCAACUUCUGAUGUGCCAGAAACCGCCCUGAGAUCUGCCGGUCAUCUCCAUGGACUUCUGCACCCCAUUCCAUACCCUUCUUCACCUGGGGUACCCCUUCCAGUUUUCCCCUUGCUUCCCAGGCCCUUGACAUGGCUUACCUGCCUUCACUCCCAGCACCUUGCCCAACAGGAUAAGCUGGAUCCCCUUGGCCUUCUGAAUAUCCCAGUGUCUUCAGGUUUCCCAAGACCACUUCCCUGUGGGCUU
RNAcentral lists this unclassified non-coding RNA (613 nucleotides) under Homo sapiens (human). RNAcentral describes it as "VPS52 subunit of GARP complex (ENSG00000223618.7)". The record is from RNAcentral. Lineage: Eukaryota; Metazoa; Chordata; Mammalia; Primates; Hominidae.